AAUAGAUACCCGGGUAGUCCACGCCGUAAACGAUGAGUGCUAAGUGUUAGAGGGUUUCCGCCCUUUAGUGCUGAAGUUAACGCAUUAAGCACUCCGCCUGGGGAGUACGGCCGCAAGGCUGAAACUCAAAGGAAUUGACGGGGGCCCGCACAAGCGGUGGAGCAUGUGGUUUAAUUCGAAGCAACGCGAAGAACCUUACCAGGUCUUGACAUCCUCUGACAACCCUAGAGAUAGGGCUUCUCCUUCGGGAGCAGAGUGACAGGUGGUGCAUGGUUGUCGUCAGCUCGUGUCGUGAGAUGUUGGGUUAAGUCCCGCAACGAGCGCAACCCUUGAUCUUAGUUGCCAGCAUUCAGUUGGGCACUCUAAGGUGACUGCCGGUGACAAACCGGAGGAAGGUGGGGAUGACGUCAAAUCAUCAUGCCCCUUAUGACCUGGGCUACACACGUGCUACAAUGGAUGGUACAAAGAGCUGCGAACCCGCGAGGGUAAGCGAAUCUCAUAAAGCCAUUCUCAGUUCGGAUUGUAGG
RNAcentral lists this ribosomal RNA (527 nucleotides) under uncultured bacterium. Its description in RNAcentral is "bacterial SSU rRNA". It matches the Rfam family "Bacterial small subunit ribosomal RNA", at positions 777 to 1304 of the family's 1533-position model. The record is from RNAcentral.